UACGUAGGGUGCGAGCGUUGUCCGGAAUUAUUGGGCGUAAAGAGCUCGUAGGCGGUCUGUCGCGUCGAUCGUGAAAACUUGGGGCUUAACCCUGAGCUUGCGGUCGAUACGGGCAUGACUGGAGUUCGGCAGGGGAGACUGGAAUUCCUGGUGUAGCGGUGAAAUGCGCAGAUAUCAGGAGGAACACCGGUGGCGAAGGCGGUUCUCUGGGAAUGACCUGACGCUGAGGAGCGAAAGUGUGGGGAGCGAACAGG
This 254-nucleotide ribosomal RNA is filed under the name uncultured bacterium. RNAcentral's name for it is "partial 16S ribosomal RNA". It matches the Rfam family "Bacterial small subunit ribosomal RNA", at positions 524 to 776 of the family's 1533-position model. The record is from RNAcentral.